RNA transcript from Triticum aestivum (bread wheat), 1573 nucleotides. RefSeq lists it as uncharacterized. NCBI's taxonomy places the organism in Eukaryota, Viridiplantae, Streptophyta, Magnoliopsida, Poales, Poaceae. The record is from RefSeq and is a predicted model, not a curated record. The transcript is spliced from 5 exons.
CUUCUCACUUUAACCCUAUCCGCCCCGCCCCUGCCCCCAAUUUCCUCCGCCGCCGCCGUCCUCGGACCCGUCCCUGCCGCCACCGGCGGCCAUAGCCUCGAGCUCCCGCCCCUGCAUUGCCUGCCUUCCCUUGGCCUCUUCGCUGCCACCACAUGGGCAUCUUCGUUGGCCCGAGUCCCCACCGAUGGUGGUGAGAAUAUCCCAUUUCCCCUAACCCCAUCGCUGCAUGCCUUCCCCAGUGCCGCGGCCGUCGACAGCCCCGUCCGCCGGGGCCUUCACCGCCCACCGCUAGCUGAGGUCCAAGACAGCGCCCUCCUCUUGCUCCUCUCAGGGAAGGAUCUCGUCUCCAGCAAGCUCGACCAGGCGCCCACGCCGCCACCAAAAGCGCGAUGUCUUGAAAGGUUGUGCUAGAGGCAUGCCGCUGGCACCGAUGGGCCCUCAUUUAUCUUAUACAAUCCAUUUCAGAAUAUGACGUGGUAAGUCUGCAAAUGGAAUGGAUGGAUCCAUCAUUUUGCCAUCCUGAUGCUUGUACAGGGUUUCCUUUUUGUUGACCAGUUCAACUAGUCCAUCAUCUUAAACUAGGCUCGAGAAAUGAAGGUUCAGUUUAUGAGAAACAAUUUAAAUAUGUAUCAGCUUACUAUCUUGGCACAUGAGCUAUUUUUCAGUCAACGCGUGGCGGGUCCACUUGGAACUGAAUAGGCACUGGUCCUUCUUCUUCUUACUCUCCAUGAGCCCCUUAUACUACUGCUAUGGUUUAUGUGCCUACUUUUAACUCUGUCAACUAAAAUUGGGUUGCUUUGUUUCAGCUGAUCUGAUACUGUGGGUGGGAUCUAUAGAACAACCUUGAAAUCUGUCUGCGACCAGUCCACAUUCUGCACCACUCCCACAACUUGAACACCAAGGUCUUUGCCAUUUAAAUGGUUGAGAGAAUAAACUGGAUGGCUGACAAUCCGAGAAGGGCGUUGAACAAAGUGGUGGUAUCAUGGUCAAUUAUCUGUACAGCUGGGAACCACAACCACCAGCAUGCUGUGUGGGCAAUGGGCAGAGAGCAGAUGGCUACAUCGCUGGGAACCAUGGUCACCCACAUGCAGCAGAUAACGAAUGGUGGAUGGAAGGCUACCUCGCUGGGAACCAUGGUCACCCACAUGCAACAGAUAACGAAUGGUGGAUGGAAGGCUACCUCGCUGGGAACCAGGACCAUGACUUAUUAUGGGAAAUCGGUGGCGAACGGAUGGCUACCUCGCCGGGUACCUCAACUCCUAGGCACUUGGCCAACUGGUGCAUGGACGUGAUGACUUUGUGGCGUUUAUGGACCAAUCAACUUGUAAUCAUGGAUCUUAUGUGUCUUCUAGACCAUUUGUUGUUUUGUUAUUUCGGAGCUUGCAUUUUGUGCAUGUGGAUACAGACUUGUAUGUUCUGGACCAUCUAGUUGAAGUCUCUCAUACCAGCAAAUAGCGCUAUCUUUUUGUGACUUGUGUGUUCUGGAUGAUUGUUAAGAUGGUAAAAACUAUGCUUUGUCAAGAUUGAUGUGUUUGUCAUAUGCACGUUUGUGAAUAUAUUUCAUUGUUGUACA